AAAGUCAGUCGGACAGUCGCGCUUGUAAUUGAGUGAGGAAAGUCCGGGCUUUACAGAGCAAGAUGCCAGAUAACGUCUGGGAGGCGUGAGCCUACGGAAAGUGCAACAGAAAAUAUACCGCCUUAUUUUUAGUAAGGUAAGGAUGAAAAGGUGCGGUAAGAGCGCACCGCAUUAGUGGUAACACUCAAUGGCAUUGUAAACCCCAUCUAAAGCAAGACCAAAUAGUGCCACUAUGAUGUUGCUCGCAUCGUGGCAGGGGUAGGUCGCUUGAGCUUACUGGUGACAGUAAGCCUAGAUAAAUGACUGUCUAUUACAGAACCCGGCUUAUAGACUGACUUUGUAU
Molecule: RNase P RNA, 343 nt
Filed under: Francisella endosymbiont of Ornithodoros moubata
Lineage: Bacteria; Pseudomonadati; Pseudomonadota; Gammaproteobacteria; Thiotrichales; Francisellaceae
Description: RNase P RNA component class A
Rfam family: Bacterial RNase P class A
About the family: Ribonuclease P (RNase P) is a ubiquitous endoribonuclease, found in archaea, bacteria and eukarya as well as chloroplasts and mitochondria. Its best characterised activity is the generation of mature 5'-ends of tRNAs by cleaving the 5'-leader elements of precursor-tRNAs.
Source: RNAcentral